Molecule: ribosomal RNA, 497 nt
Filed under: uncultured bacterium
Lineage: Bacteria
Description: partial 16S ribosomal RNA
Rfam family: Bacterial small subunit ribosomal RNA
Source: RNAcentral
UUGAACGCUGGCGGCAGGCCUAACACAUGCAAGUCGAGCGGCGGCGCGGGGCAACCUGGCGGCGAGCGGCGGACGGGUGAGUAACGCGUAGGAAUCUACCCAGUAGCGGGGGAUAGCCCGGGGAAACUCGGAUUAAUACCGCAUACGCCCUAAGGGGGAAAGCAGGGGAUCGCAAGACCUUGCACUAUUGGAAGAGCCUGCGUUGGAUUAGCUAGUUGGUAGGGUAAGGGCCGACCAAGGAGACGAGCCAUAACUGGUCUGAGAGGAUGAUCAGUCACACCGGAACUGAGAAACUGUCCGGACUCCUACGGGAGGCAGCAGUGGGGAAUAUUGGACAAUGGGGGCAACCCUGAUCCAGCCAUGCCGCGUGUGUGAAGAAGGCCUUCGGGUUGUAAAGCACUUUAAGUGGGGAGAAAGGUUCGGCAGCUAAUACCUGCCGGAAGUGAUGUUACCCACAGAAUAAGCACCGGCUAACUCUGUGCCAGCCGCCGCCGUAA